RNAcentral lists this long non-coding RNA (240 nucleotides) under Panax ginseng (ginseng). RNAcentral's name for it is "long non-coding RNA (PGIN_LNC015089)". Lineage: Eukaryota; Viridiplantae; Streptophyta; Magnoliopsida; Apiales; Araliaceae. The record is from RNAcentral.
CCGCACCGCUUUUAGACUCUCAUUGACUUGUCCCGCGCUAGUGUUGCAGAACUCUCACCGAUCCUAUCCCGCCCCGCGCUACUCAUCGGCCUGUACUGGUGCAACCCGCACUACCCCUACAAAAACUCUGUACUCAUUCAUACCGCUCCGUUCCGCUUCGCUUCGCACUUGGCCUUUUUCAGGCACUUCAAAGUUAUGAGUCACAAGCCCCAACAAACUCCACCUUGACGAAUAAGCUCG